AGAAAUUAUUCUGACUGCCACGCAGAUUAAAUCUACGGAUUUAAUCUAGAUAUUAAAUGGCUUGUGAAGUGAAUUAAAUCUAUGUAUUUAAUUUAUACACGAAUAAUGAGCAGAAGCCAGUAUUUGAUUGCAAACACGCGAUUAAAUAGUAGAUGCACUGAGUAACCAAGACACAAAGAUUUAUUAUUAUUUACAAUUAGAACUUCAACCACCACUAUCAAUCAAUGCAGUAAUUGAUUUUUUUUCUGAGUACAAGAAGAAAUCUUUGCAUAUAAGCUCACCACUGGCAGCAAGAGUGACGCAGUACAUUUGGGUAAAAAAAUAAAACUCUCGAAUUUGCUGGCUUUAGGAGGAAGAUCAUGCUUAAGACAAUCAUCUUCCACUAUCUAAUUAUUUAUCAACCACUACCUCCACUUAACAAAAAUGAGACCUACGCACUAGCCUGCACCACCACCCUUUUUCUCCACCAAACUUUCCACUUACUUCAUUCCUUCUCUCAUACACCAAGCACCAGAAAGGGAGAUGAAGUUCCUGCUGCCAACUGCCAAGUAUCGAGAGUUUCUUCUCCAUUGAAUUCAUUAUCAACAACAGCAGCUACCAACACAAAAUACUCAAGGUAAUUUGAUAUCCCAAAUAUUCAACUCAGUUUGCAUCCAUAUCUAGCAUAUCACAGUUCAUCUACAUCAAAUAGCCUAGAUAUUUCGUACAAUAGAAAGUAUAAACUUCACAAACAGGCUGCACUCUAGAACAACAAGCAUAUGAGUUUAUGCAAAACAAAGAAAGAAUACACCUUAGCUCAUAAUCCAACACAGGGCUCAUUGACGAGCAUAUAACAACGCUGUUAUUCAUUUAGCACAGUAGCAAAAUUUCCACGGCUUAUAAACGGAAUUAGGAAAAACCACAACCCCUCGUAUUAAACUUUCACAUCAUAAGCAAAUGAAUCAAGAUACAAUAGUAGAAUGAAACUAGAGAACUUAGCUUAAGAAAUAGGGCCGAUUGCCCUGCUCUGAAUCGGGAUUUAACGGCGCCGAGGAGUAGGCGAGGCGACACCCUUCGCCGGGAACAGCGACAGCAACGGCGAAGCCGGCCUCCAGUAGCAGCAGCGGCGGUGGCGUGGCACAAAUCGAACCCCGUCGACCCCGGAGAACAACGAAGGCGGACUUUACCUGGUCGCCGGAGGAACGCGAAGGAGAUGGCGGCGAUUCGUGGAGGAGAGCGAAACCGGCAGUCAGUUGCCGGAUUUACAGAGCCACGGCGACCAGCCAUCAGAUUCUGAUGGAGACGCGGUGCAGCGGCGACCUGGUAUUUGACGAUUAGGGCUCGCCCUUCCACUCUCUUCUUCCCGAACACGGAUUUGAGGCCGAGACACCAAGUUUGGAGGGGGGACGACAACUAGCGGUCGCCGGACUUACAGAAACGGCGGAGGAUUCGAUCUCAGGGAAAGCUAGGGCUCCUCCUCUCAGUCGAGUUUGAGAGGUAAAUCGAGAGAGAGGAGAUGAGGGAGCAGACCGACGUCGGGGUUCUGAGCAACGCUGGCCUCGCCGGCGGCUGGAAUGGUCAGAGUACGGAGCGGCGACGGCAGAUCUGCGGGAGACAGAUCGGGUGAGAAAUUGAGAGAGGGAAGUAGAUGGAGAGAGAGAGAAAUGGACCAGGGGCGAUGUCCUCGGCUGGCCGUCGUUCUCGCCGGAGCCGUUCGCGGCGGAGCUCGCGUAGAGCGGGCGAGAGAGAGAGAGAUGUCUUGAGCGGCGACUGUUUGAAAAAGAUAGAUAGAGAAAGGCGUGAAUUGCUUGAGAGAGAGUGGAGCGUGUUCUGCUGGGAGAAGAAGAGAGAACCGACUUGGAGGAAAAGAAAUUGGGCUUUAGUUAAUUAAUUGAAGUUGGGCCUCUUUUGUUAAUUCAAUUGGGCUUUUAGCAUUUAUUUACAUUGGGCCGGGUUAUUUCUUUAUUUUGGGCCGAGUCUUGGGCCGAUUUUUAAUAAGUGAUGGGCCGAUUUUUUUAAAUGGAAUUUGGGCCUCAUCAUUUAUUUUAAUUGGGUUUUUAUCUUUUAAAAGAUUGAGCUUGUGUUUAAAUGGUAUUGGGCUUUGGCUAUGGGCCGAUUUUAUUAAAGUCUUUGGACCGAUUUUAUUAAAGUCUUUGGGCCCUGAUUUAAAUUGAAACAUUGGGCUUAUGUUUUUUUAAAGAAAUGGGCUAUCUUAUUAUUUAACUGGGCUGGAGUUCAAAGAAAAAUGGAUACUUAUUAAUUAGACUAUUUAUUUAGUUUAAUUAAUUAUUUUUCUCAAAAGAUGAUUUACAUAAUAAUAAUAUUGUAUUAUUAUUAUGUGCAUAUUUUAAGUAAAUUACUUAUUAUAUGCUAAGCAUGACAUGAAAUUGCAUUUUUACUUGCAAUAAAAGUAUUUAAUUGGUUUUAAUUAUAAAUCCAAUUAUUAAAGAAAGACGAGUAAGAAUAUUGUUGGUGUUCUUAACUCAAGAGAAAUGUUUUCAAUUAUUUAUUAAAUUUUGAAAAGCCCGAUAAUUUUUAUGAGAUCACACCUCGAUUAAAGCCGAGUUAGUUCUUUAUUUCGAUCGAGUACAAAUACGAGAUCUAUUUUACAAUUAGAAUAUUCCGAUGGGAAAUGAAGAAUCACAGCUCUAUUUGACCGCGUUAGACGAGAAUUAGUUAAAUCUAUUAACAAUGAUUAAUAGUAGAAUUCCCGAUUAUCGCUCAGAAGAUUAGUUCAUGCAUACAAGAUUCAUGCACAGUUAAAUUAUGCUUUCUCAUUAAUUGGGAAUUUUCCUUGAGCCAAUGUCUUAUUUUAUAUUCUCGUGAUUAAGGUCAAGCGCGAGAGUAAGAACUACUCAAGGAGUCACAGUACUUAGCAAAACUUUGCUAUCAGGUGGGCAAUUUCUUACGCGUAAAUAAAAUGCUAUGCAUGUGUUAUGCUUUAUAAUGCAAAUUGGAUCUUCAAGUAUGGUAUGCUUUAUUAUGCUUUACGCUAAAUGAUUUACGCUUGAUUACGCUUAUUUACGCUUGAAUGCUUUACGCUGAUAAGUUUAUGCCUGUGAUUGAUGCUUGCGUCUGUUGGGGGAGGCCUCCCUCAACAGUACGAUGCCGUGUCCGCUGAGGAGGGCCUUCCUCACGGCGCGAUGCCCGUGUCCGCUGAGAGAGGCCUCUCUCGCGGCGCGAUGCCAGUAUGCCAGUGUUACAGCGUCUAUUGGGGGAGGCCUCCCUCAAUAGUACGAUGCCGUGACCGCUGAGGGAGGCCCCCUUCACGGCGCGAUGCCCGUGUUCGUUGGGGAAGGCCUUCUCCACGACACGAUGCGUGUUUAUGAUUGUUAAUGAUGAAGAAUGCGCUCAUGCUAUUUAUGAAUUUGGAAAUGUUUAAUGAGCAAAGGAUUUGAAAGAAACUUAUGCCUCUUAUGCGAAGUUGUGUUUUGUUGUUGAUAUUAUGUUAUAUGUUUGGCAACUGCCCACUAAGUACUCUUGUACUUAGCCCUUCAAUGUUUAUGAUUGUGCAGGUUGAGCUGUGAUGGGCGAUGAAGUGUUGCUGAGUGGAGUUUUUGUCGAACUUAAAGUAGGCUCAGAAAGGAUACAUGUCUUCAUACAUGUAUCUCAGUUAUGCAUUCCGCUGUAAACACUGAUUAUUUCAGUUACACCUUCCGUUGCAAACUCUGAUAAUGUUUUAGCCAAGCCCCUAAAAAUGCCUUUUUCCUUUUAAGGAAUAUAACGCGUAUACAAGUUCUUUGAGUACCCUUUUUAUGCGAACUAUGCCUUUUUCCUUUUUAAGGAAUAUUUCACGCGUAUUCAAGCUCUUUGAGUAUUCUUUUAUGCACCCCUUUCUAAACCCGCUUCUUAUUUUCCCUUCCCCAGUCAUGGUUUUCCCGG
Molecule: long non-coding RNA, 3861 nt
Filed under: Salvia miltiorrhiza (redroot sage)
Lineage: Eukaryota; Viridiplantae; Streptophyta; Magnoliopsida; Lamiales; Lamiaceae
Description: long non-coding RNA (SMIL_LNC008242)
Source: RNAcentral